Molecule: non-coding RNA, 961 nt
Organism: Megalopta genalis
Lineage: Eukaryota; Metazoa; Arthropoda; Insecta; Hymenoptera; Halictidae
Source: RefSeq, a predicted model, not a curated record
UCACGCGCUUUUCUUUCGCUGGCAGUUUUUGAAUUUAGCGUAGUUUUGUUUACGGGUUCAAUGGGAAUAUAUGGAUUCAAGUAUUGUCAAUGGUUGUCUGCUGACUGGCGAUCUUUUCGGUAAGUCCGGAUAAGCUUCGAUUUUCCAAAUUGAUCUUUAACCAUUCACAAUGUAAGACGAUGCGGUGGAUUUCAAUAAUGCUCUCUAGUUUCGUUGAUAUAUGCGGUGGAAAUAAAUAAGUUGACGCGUCAACGGUGCUUUCGAUAAUUGGCGACCCUUUAUGGAAGAUAGAUUAAAGUAUAAAUGAACUGUUCAAUGUUUCGCCAGUUUUAAAUGUACAUCCCAACGGCGUCCGACAUUACUGACGCACUACGCCAAUGGCCGCAGCUUGAUCCGUUAAUGAGGGCCCGUAUAGAAAUUUUCUAUGCUCUAAUUGCCUGACGAUUCUGAGACAGGAUUCACCUCGGAUUGGAUGCGAAGCUUAAGGAGUAAGCAUGAAGUAAUGUUGAAGUCUACGAUGUUGGGUCCUAUGAAGAAUGAUCGAAGCUGUCGAGCGUUAUUUGUCAAAAGGAUCUACAAGAAUCCACCCUUCUACAUAGUGUUCUUCUGCCUACAUCGUUAAAGGCGAAGGUUCGAGCGGUCCCGCGCCCUGUAUUUUACAAAAACGUUCCCGAUAAGAAAAAGAAUGGCGGUGUAUGCGCUCGAUCUACCGCCAGAAAUUUUUCUCAGAAGUGUUUUGCACCGUACUUUUAUCCCCAUCGGAACCGCAAAUCGUGGUAUGCCGCACAUUGUUAUGCGUGCCACGACAUACUGAGCGCAGCUUUCUUUCAAACCGGCCAGGAACUUUUCAUCGUCAAAUUUCAACUUGUUCUCCGUGCCCCUUCUUUUAAUUCCCGUUCGAAUCAGUGGGGAGCGGUAAAUGACCAACGGAAUGCUCGUCGGCUUCGUUUGACGCCGUUUC